Hemicordylus capensis (graceful crag lizard) is the source of this 1181-nucleotide long non-coding RNA. RefSeq lists it as uncharacterized. Lineage: Eukaryota; Metazoa; Chordata; Lepidosauria; Squamata; Cordylidae. The transcript has 4 exons. The record is from RefSeq and is a predicted model, not a curated record.
CCGAACGGAUUGGUGUGCUCCUAGAGGUUCGAAGCUCUAUACAGUUUUCUGAGAGCUCGCCUUGGCUUUGCUAGUCGCAAAAAUAGGGUGCGCGCGGUUUGUCCGGCUGAGGGCGCCGUACGGUUUGUCCGUACUGAGGCCAACGCUGGCUGUAGGAGGUGACCGGCUGUGCCGCAGGUUGUAGUUUUGACCGUUCCCCAGCAGGGAGCGCUGCACAUGUUGAUCGUAGAAGGCAAGGCGAGUCUAGACUGCUGGAAGGUGAUAAAAAGAACAUACAUGAAACAGAAAUGCCUUCGAAGCAUUUAGAUUUAAGAAGACCCAUUUAGUCCAGCAUUCUGUUUCCAACAGCAGCCGUCCAGUUGCUUCUGGGGAACUCUCAAGCAAGACAUGAAGGCAACACAGCUACACCAACACAGCUACACCCACAGCUACAUGUUGUCUGUCCUCAGUCCGUGUUUCGAAUUCAGACACACUACUACUGAACAUGGGGGCGCCGUUUAGUUAUCAUAGAGACUAGCCUUAACGAAUUUGCCUAAUCCCAGUCUUCUUAAAGCUUCCUAAGCUACUGACCAUCACUGAACCUUGUGGCACCACUUUCCAGAAAUUACUUAUUCUGAAUGUGAAGAAGUUUGUUGAAAGUUUUUUUCCUGCCAAAGACAAAGGAACCCAGACAAAGUUUGAUGACUAAACAGUAGUUGGUUGUCUUGACUCUACAGCAAGACAACUUCAGUAGGUGAUCCCGUGUUGGAGCCGAGAGUUCAGGUGCUUCUGCAGGCACAUUAGGGACAAGAAGGCAUAACCUGCCUAAAUGCUUUCCUGGAGGCGAUGAUGGACUGGAUGAGGGAUAACAAACUGAGACUGAAUCCAGAUAAGACAGAGGAACAGAAACUGGCUUUGAGGCAGUUAUGAGAGGUUAUAGGAGGCAAUUAACAGGUGCUUCAUCAGUAAUUCUACUGCCCCACUCAACAACAACAGCAUACCCAUGACGAGGAAUGGGCUGCCUCAGACACAGACAAAUGACAAAGCGUUCUCCCUAGCAACGAAGAACUGAUGAAAACCAUUAGAUCAUUUCCUUCUACAUAUUCAGCUCCUUUCUUCAUAGUACUGUUGUCAACAGGAGAGCUGGAUUCCAAUUAUCUGAUUCAAGUGUUUCCAGUGAACUGUCAUACACAGAAGCUAAC